CAUGCAGUGGUCUUUGAGUUCAAUCUUCAGUACCACCAAAAAGAUAAGAAAUUGGCACUUACGCAAUAAAGUUGCACCAGGAAGUAAGCACUCAUUACGUGUUCAUUAGACUGAAAUGUUGAUUUAGAAGACAAGGGUGCCCAUUGCUGUAAGAACUGGUUCCUCCUUAGAGAGAACUGUCCGUGUGGAUUCGUGCUCUUGUGAAUUUUCCCAUAGCAUACCGAAGGAUUUUCUCAUCAUGAUUCAUCAGUGUACUUAUUUGUCACUAUUCUGAGCCACAUGGUAUGUGGUGUGUACAAUGUCCUUGUCUAUAGCAUGAGGCUUCAGAUUCAGCCCUAACACACAGAGCAGGGACCCCUAGUGGUCUGUAAGCUGAGACAGACACAAGGUGGCAGGCAGCUUGGCUGUUGAAGCACAGUAAGACUGGCAAAUGAGAAGAUGCCAGAAGCAGCUGGGUUAAUAUCUGCGUGUUGUGUUUCCGGUGUGCCUCUUGGUAUAGCACAAAAGCUCUCCCUGCUCCCUCCAGGGGGUUCUCGAAAAGCUUGGCCUGGCCUGGUUGGGUUCUCCAAAUACAUCAACUGGAACCCUGAGGUGAUACCCAGGUGUUAAUUAGGUUAAUCUUUCACUGUCCCCUGUCUAGUUGAAAUGUAACUCUUGUUCUAUGGACUUGCUCUUUGGAGAGCUGUUCCUUUGAUUCUGUCAUCCAGAGCCUUAAAGCAAUCAUGUGGUCACCACAUGACAAGUAGAAAGACUUUCCUUCCAUGAGGCAUUUCUGUUGCAUUACAAACCAUGGCCUCAAAUUCCUAAUACAUCUUCUUGCCACAAAUAUGUAAUCAUAAAGAACUGGCAGUCAGAUUCCUUCAGUGGAUCUCAUAUUUGCACAGAAAAACCUAAGAUGAAGCUGAAAAAUUACAUGGCCCCACUGUACAGCCAGUGGGAGCAGAGGCUCUUUGCUGUCACCCAGAAAGGCUCACAGCCCCUCUGUCAUGGUCAUAGCAGCCACACUGUGAGCUUUCAGCAGGCUUUAGUUCAUGACUUCACCUUGUACUCUUGGUCUCCAUUUCAAGCUUUGACUUUGCCAGUUCAUCCCCAACCAGGUAGUUCCUGUAAGGCCUUGAAGAGAUGUGCCUGUCCACCCCAAGUUUAGCACCCUUGGUCCCAUCUGUCUCUGAGGCCUGCCAACGCUAGUAUUUGUUCCUCCUUGGGCAGCGAUGAUGACUUUUGGGGUGGUGGCUGUGGAAAGCUGUAAGGCCUGUUUUCUCUAACCUCCUCUCCCAGAAUAAAGUGAUGGGGGCAGCUGUAGUGUCGCAGUUAGGAGCAUGAAUCUAUUACCGUUUGGACAAGGAAGGGAAAAUGCCAUUACUGUCAACUGAAAUGUCCUACUUGGGUUUUUUGCUCCUACUUCUCUGCCAAAGCCCAUUGCUACUGCUCACAGCUGUUCUUGGUGGCUUGAUCCUUAACACAGCCAGAAAUGCAGCCGGGAGACACUUAAGACAGUUUAUGGAAAAUAAUAGAUUUCCUUGCAGAGACACCAAAACCUCGAGAAGGGCCUGGAUUCGAGUUAGACCCAGCCAAGAUCACCGGUUCUCUCCCUUUCUGGCCUCAGUUACAAAGCCUCUUGCUCAAAACGUGCAGGCCCUCUUGAAUUCUCUGUUUUCCUGGUUGGUUUCUGUCAGCACCCACAAGUCUCUGGCUCUGGAGCCCUUUGUCUCACCACUCGCCUGCAGCUGCAUGAGAUCUGAGAAGAAACAGUGCCUCCACGUGUGGACAGAAAAGAUGCUACAGUGUGGAAAAGAACUUCCAGGAAAGCCAGCAGAGGCGAGCUGGGACUCAGCUCAGCAGCCUGGGCGCAGCAGAGACAGAUGGCUAUAUUGGAGGCCACCACUGCCCUCCCAGCGCAAGGGUGGGAUCCCUCCUUCCCCGUGUGGCAUCUCUGUGUGACCAAUCAGGAAUGCCAAGAAGUGGUGUAGUUAACUCUGCUCCCUUCAUCUAUGCAGCCAUGUCGCCUUGCCAACUCUCAGCCAGCCUUUAGUUAGGAGCCUCUGGGAAGGGCAUUCCCUUGGGCAGUCCGGGAGGGAGUGGCUUCUUGCUCACAAAUGCAGGGAAAGCUGCAAGAAUGACAGGGCCACAGACUUGCAGCUUCCAGACUGUUGAUGCAAAUUCAGGUCAAAAGCCAUGAGUCUUUCCCCACCCGUGCCCGGAAGUGAAGGUAGAGGGGAGUGGCCUGCAGGCACUGACCCAUCUCCUUUUCCCUCAUUGCAGUCACAAGCAGCCCCAGCCCAGUGCCAUCACUCCCCCACUGUUUUAUUCUCAGCUCCUCCUAAAUGGAAACCAUUAAUCAUACUAAAUUGUGCAAUGAUUCCAUGAUAGGGAGAAUGCUGAUGGCAAAAAUCAUUCUCCUUUGUUGUGCCAGGCAGGCAAAAGGCAGAGAAGUAUUAGUUUGUCUUUUGCAAGAGCCUGGCUCCUUGCAAAUGCUGACCAUGUGUUUGCCCAGGCAGCUGCUUCUAUAUGCACAGCUUAUUUUAGCAUCGGACUAAGGCACCCCAACUGUUGACAGAAAACAAGGCUCCUAGCCUCCUCUCCCUUAUUCCAAGGACUGCCAGGAGUACUUAAGUUUGUGGGUGCCCUCACCCAAGGUCUUUCCCAUUUCAAGGUCCUUAGAUUGGGGGAGGGCUGGGAUGGGUGGAAUGGGAUUGGUGGAAAACCCAGAGGUGGUCUCAAAUGGGGCAAGCUUGUAAGGUAAGCUAUCCAUCCACCCUCCCUCACCCCCACACACACACACUUCUGCCAGCUGGAUUGCAGGAGAAGCCAGGUGUGGGUACCAAGGAGGCUUUUUUUUUUUUUUUUUUUUUUUUUUUUGCUUUUCAGAAUUUGAUGUCUGCUUCGCUUUCGACAAGCCUCUUUGUAAGCCACCCCUUCUGAAUUAGAAUCGUUUUCCAAAAGCUCUUAAGCUAUGAUUAAUGCCAGGGCUGUUUUUAACAAUCAUCCUGCCAGUCUUAAGCUGUAGUCAUUUUCAAUAAUUUGGAGCGCUCAAAGGCAAGCCAGGAGUUUGUUGACAACAAAACCCAGAAGAGCACAGCCAGGCAGCCACAAAAGAUGGAAAAGCAAAGGGACCACUUGGGCUUAGCUGGCUUUCUGCUCCUAGAAUUUCACCACUAAAAGUGUGAUUGAAUGCUCACAAUGUAUUAAGGAUCCGACCGUGAACAUGACUGGGCGAGAGGGCUGCCAGCCUGGCUUUUGUGUCAACAAGCAAGCCGCGUGUUCGGAGGGCUUCUGGUUUACUUAUGGACACGUGUGGUUCAUGCAUGCUGUCCCCAAACCAAAGCCUCCUUUGUCUUCCUUCUGCCAACCUUGAAGAUUGAGAAAGAAUCACCUGUCAUCCCUUUUGCUUUGGAGACUGUUUGAUUCCUGGGAAUGAUGAACAGGUUAGGACUUGGGAAAGUCCUCUCCCCAGUCAUGUGUGUGGAAUGAGUGUUCUCUUUUUAAUCUUGGCAGUUUCACUCGAGAGUUUCCGCCUGUUUAAAUUGCAGACCAAAUGAAGCUGUGGCAAACAACGCCAUGAUCACAGAUUUCCUUAGGUCAGACUUCCAUGGCCUUUAUUUUUAGUUCGUUGCUUUCUCCUGUAGGAAAAUGGGUGAUAGGAGUUUGGCCCAGUGAGUUAUGUAUGUCUAAUAUAUAGUUGUGUCUCAGUUCAACCCUGCCUUCCAGGUGUGUCGCCAGUGAGAGAAGACCCCAGUAGAGCUAGGGGUGUGCAUGAGCUGACUUCCCAUACUUCCUCCAACCAUGAAUGACGGUCCAGCUCUCCCAGCGUGUACCCACUCAUUGCAUUUCCAGACGCUCUCUUCUGAGGCAGUAGUGGUGUAUUGACAGUGGCUGGUCCCUCUAAAAGGCAUUAAAGUCUCCUGGGGAUUUAAUGGGGGCUCCUGGCAAGCUUUCAGUGGACACUGUCCUGCUGUCGGUAUCCUGCCAGCAGCCCUGAGCCUUUGGGGAAAUGACGUUUCCUCAAGAGUGCUCAAUCCCUUUCAUACCCUGUCUCAGUUCACUGUAUCAGCCACGCCCCAAAACCAGAGACCUGAGCAUCAUUCUCAAAUCUCUCCUCUCAUCUCCCACCAUCAGUAGUUACUAGCUCCUGCCCAUUGUCCUCUAAAUGCUUCUUGGACUCCAUCUAAACCUGGUGUUUUUAUGUCACCAUCCUGGUCCUCGCCUCUUCAACUCAAAACAUGUGACAGCCUUUCCCCUAGCUUCCCAUCUUCCUGCCCACUACCCCCAUCACUAGACCUAAUGACCUGCUCUGGGCCACUCCCCUGUUCAGGCCAAGUCCCUUCUUGACUUUGGGUUUACCAUCAACUCAAUGCUCACAACAUGCCUUCCCCUCACUCUGGGCCUCAGCCCUAUCCAUGACCCUCAGCUGCAUGUCCUGUGCCGUACUGUGCUGCAAGGUCACUUCAGCAUCCCCCCACCUCUGUGCCUUAGAAAAGCUGAUUCAGGAUGCUUCCCUUUGACUUCUCAGUCUCUCAUUCUUACCUCAAGUUCUGUCCUUAUCUCAUGUCUGAACUAUUUAUUUACUUUGUCUCCCUCAGUAAAACAACAAAUUCCCUGAAAGUAGAGACAGAAUCAAAUUCCAGUCUGUAUCUCCAAAACCAAGGGCGGUAUCUGGCUCUGGGCUCAAUAAAUUGUUGGAUAGCAAAAGACUAUUUUUUUCGUCUGUGUCUGCCUCUUUUCUGAAAAAUUGGUGGGUAUGGCCUGUCCCCUUCUUUCUAGCCAGCAGUUCUCAAAUAUCUCCAACUCCUCCUGCCUGCUUUGUUGAAUUUGAAUUUUGUUUCUUCUGUCACAGUCAAAGUUGUUGGCUGUUCUUUGUUUUGUCUUUCCCGUCCUGACCUGGUUAAGGUCCAUAAGUGCAUGGCCUACUAACACCUCCAGGGCUUGUGAACGUAUUUGAUGCAUGGAAAGGAAAUAAAUAUGAGCUACAAAAUCCAGAGGAGACAAGAAACCUGCCCCCUCAAAUGUGUUAAGUGUUCAAUUAAACACCUACAAAACUAUAACAUUGUCAACCAAACAGCAAGCUGCAUCAAACUGAUUUUUUUUUUAGACUUCAGGCCUUAAGUGUAAGCAGUGUAGGCUGCAGGCUCUCACUGUGGAAGUGAGCUUCAGUUUCAAGGUUCUAGGCCCUGUAAAGACUUCCAAGCCCACCUCACUUGUUCUCUUUCCUCGCCUGUUCCUUCUCCCAUUCCUGGUCUUGUCAUCCCCAUCCCCACCCCCAGCUUCCUUUCUUGUCCUCGCCUUUCCCUGAAUCUCCCUCUCCCUAAGUGUACAAGAUGUGCUCUGGAGGAAGCCAGUCCAGGAAAGGCAGGUUCCAUUCCCACACAUGGGGGCUUAGCAGGGCAAGCUGCUCUACUCUAAAUAGUCACAGAAUCCUGCAGAUGUGUUAAAUGUUCAAAUUAAACACCGUCUUUGGCAAUGGUUCUCCCUCGAGCAGCAAGGACAAAUGCAAUCUGAGGGGAUAUGUGACCUGCACACCCCAGCUUCACUACUACAAAAGGCAAGUUGUCCAGGCAAUGCCCCAGGCUUGGGGGGGGGGCAGCUCUUCCCUGCCCCACUGCUGUGUUCCAGCUUUGGGUUUUUGUUUUGUUUUGGGUUUUUGUUUUUGGUGCCUGGGUGGAGAAUUAAUCUGGUGGGGAGGAGCUGCAAAGCCAGGGGCCUGAGUUGAGCUUCCAGCUGUCCCUCUGUUUCAGCCUGUGACUUGGGCAAUCGCUGCCUCCCUGAGCCUUGCUCUGCUGCUAUAAAGAGCCUGGAUCCCAAAUUGUUUCCAGUCCUUUGUAAAGUGCUUUAACCCCUUAGGUUCAAGGUACGGCUUGUGAGCAAAAGGGAUGCUGUUGUCCCGGAGCAUUUAGAACCCAACAAACUGUACUGCCUGCUCUUGAGUUGGAAAUUAAAAAGCUGGAAUGAGUGAUGACUAAUCCCCCUGUUGUUUCAUGGUGUCCUUGUCAUCUUGGGAUUGUCCAAUUUGGGCCCCUUUUCUUUAAAAACAAAUAAAACUCUUUUGUGAA
Molecule: long non-coding RNA, 6047 nt
Organism: Mesocricetus auratus (golden hamster)
Lineage: Eukaryota; Metazoa; Chordata; Mammalia; Rodentia; Cricetidae
Exons: 2
Source: RefSeq, a predicted model, not a curated record